UUUCCGUAGGCGAACCUGCGGAAGGAUCAUUAUUGUAUAACCGAGGUGCGAGGGCUGUCGCUGACCCGAAAGGUCGUGCACGCCCGAGUGCCCUCACACACAUCCAUCUCACCCCUAUGUGCACCACCGCGUGGGUCCCCCUUUGGCUUGUUCGGAGGGGGGCUUACGUUUUCACACAAACUUUGUAUGCAGUGUAGAAUGUAUUUUUUGUUUUUGCGAUCACGCAAUCAAUACAACUUUCAACAACGGAUCUCUUGGCUCAC
RNAcentral lists this unclassified non-coding RNA (263 nucleotides) under plant metagenome. Its description in RNAcentral is "partial contains small subunit ribosomal RNA, internal transcribed spacer 1, and 5.8S ribosomal RNA". The record is from RNAcentral.